Long non-coding RNA from Piliocolobus tephrosceles (Ugandan red Colobus), 1662 nucleotides. RefSeq lists it as uncharacterized. The record is from RefSeq and is a predicted model, not a curated record. The transcript is spliced from 3 exons. NCBI's taxonomy places the organism in Eukaryota, Metazoa, Chordata, Mammalia, Primates, Cercopithecidae.
UGACGCCCAGGGCCUGCCACGGCCCAACGCCCAACCUGGAGCCGCCUGACGGCGCGUGGCGGCACAGGCAUAAGGAGUCGAUCGCCGAGCUCGCCGAGCAGGCUUUGUGUCCCCGCUGUCGGUGGGUGCCCGCCCGCCCGGGAGGAGCUGGCGCCCGGCUGGACGGAGCGGCCCCCGCCCUUCCCCUGACUCCGCGGAGUGCUCACCACCGCGGCCCCAGCGCAGACAGUGGCUGUCGACUGGAGCUGCACAUUGGAGUCACUUGAAGAAUGAAAAGAUAUGGCCGGGCGCAGUGGCUCACGCCUGUAAUCCCAGCACUUUGGGAGGCUGAGGCGGGGGAUCACCUGAGGUCAGGAGUUCGAGACCAGCCUGACCAACAUGGAGUUUGCUGACAAGCAGUACUGGAAGUAACUUUGCUGCCUGCAGACAGGGGUGCCAUAUGUUAGAUGAGAAGCCCACCAUUCUGUACAGCCACAGCCCCCAGGUAUGUCUGCAUUCCUGUGGUCCCUGGAGAUUAAAGUAAUGUGAUGUGCAGCCAGAGUGAGGCCAACAGAUUUGCCAUGGCUCUGAGCAUGCCUGGUCAUACUCUUCAGCCCUUUCCCACAAGGGUGUUGCUGGUGAGACACUGGGGACAGAGGCCUGGGGAGGAGAGGACUCAGGAAGGCAUGUGAGUGAGGAAGGGCCAAGUCCUCUUUUCUGGACUAAUAAGAUUGAGCCCUCUCUCUCAGGGUAGAGGUAGCCUCCCCACAUGCUGGGCAGUAGCUCUGGCCAGGCUGGUGGAGGCUGAUUGUGGUUCUGUAGAGGACAGAUGGCAGGGUGGGGGCUGAAAGGCCAUUUCUGCCACCACAUUGCCUACGGGCUCAGGGCUUCACUCAUUCACCCGGUCAUUCAUUUAUUCACUCUCACAUAUAUUCCUUGGGCAUUGUUAGGUGUGUGCCAGGCCCUGGAUGAGUGUUGGGGGAUGGGAGUAGUUCUAAAGAUGACAAUGACAGGUGGCUGGCCAGGACGAGAAAGAGGCUCAUCCAUGAAUCCUUUGCUCUUCAGCCCUGGGGCCUGUCAGUCACCCUGACACACCCUGAUCCUGGUCUGACUUCAUCGUUCCUGUUUGUGAGCUUUUAUUUUUCUCCAAAUUUUAUCCUUCCCUGACCUCUCCUUGCUUUUUUCCCCCCAGCUUUUUUUUUUUUUCUCCCACAGUAUCUUUAAAAUUCAAAGUAUACAUGGAAACCAAAAUAAGAUUAUAUCAAGAGGCCAGGCGCAGUGGCACACGCCUAUAAUCCCAGCACUUUGAGUGGCUGAGGCAGGCAGAUCGCUUGAGCUCAGGAGUUCAAGACCUGGGCUACAUGGCAAAAAUGUUUCUACAAAAAAAUACAGGCAGGGCGCAGUGGCUCACGCCUGUAAUCCCAGCACACUGAGAAGCGGAGGUAGGGGGAUCAGCUGACGUCGGGUUUGAGACCAGCCUGGCCAACAUGGUGAAACCCUGUCUUUACUAAAAAUACAAAAAUUAACCGGGCGUGGUGGAACAUGCCUGUAAUCCCAGCUACUCGAGAGGCUGAGGCAGGAGAAUCACUUGAACCCACAAGGCGGAGGUUGCAGUGAGCUGAGAUUGUGCCACUAUACUCCAGACUGGGCAACAGAGUAAGACUGUCUCCAAAAAAUAAAAAA